CACACCCCUGCCUCCGCCCUAAACUUGCGUCUGGGUCAAUUGGUAGUGGGGCAGUUGUGUGGAGGGUUUUGUCACUGUAUCUAUUCCACCACGCCCUGCCUUUCCCUUCACACAGCCCCCACUCUGGUCCAGGCCCGGCUGGCGCGGUGACUCCUCCCCCACUGCCUGGUCCUCCCCCGCCCCUCCCACGCAGGCUCCAACACCGUCGGGGUUUGGAUCUCAUCGCUACCAUAGACUGUUGGAGUUUCAAGGGUGGAGAUCCGCCAUUGCUUUUUCCAUAUCCGCAGAAAUUCCUUUCACAUGAAAUGUGAGUCUGUUGGGUUCCCCCCCGAGACCAGCGGUGGAAGAAGAAGCUGGAGGUGGCUGAUGAGACACUUCAUGCUGGACCAAGAAACGGGGACUCGGGGUUGAGUCCACAUGUGCCAUUUGUGGGGACGCCGUGCAUUCCCCAGUUUGCCGCUCUCUGUUUCAAAUUCUUUCACUCGAUGCUGUUGUGGGCAUGAAGUCAAAGCAGGCAUGUGUGAGACAGUGCUUUGUAAAACAUAAGGCACGGAACAAGUUUAGAACAGGAAGAGUUGAAGCUGGAUUGACGCAAUUACCAAAAAUAAAAUUAGCUGAGGGUGUCAGCGAUGAGCCAUGGAACUUUUAAUAAUCAUCACAUUUUAGGUCGGUGCCUUUAUGCUUUGAAUUCAAAUGGCAUCAAUUUAGGAAUAAAGAAGUCAACAGUUUUAAUGGCCCAAUAUGGAUGCAAGGGUCACUGAUUACUUUAGGGUCCUUAUGUUGCAAGGAGUCUAGGAAAAACUUCAAUUUUUUUUUUUUACAGCAACGUGAUUCUCUUUGUGGUGUCUACUAAAAUAAGAAAGUUACAGUGAGAUUUCUUCAGUGUUCUGAUGGCUUUCUGCCUCUCCUCUGACCAGCGUGAGCCACUCCUUCAUCUCUGCCUCUCACUUUCUGCUUGACAGUCAAGGCUCGCCUUGAACCUCCCUCUUCAGAAAGCCUUUCUGACCUGCCUCCUCAGGAGUGUUUGUUUGUGGUAUUUGACCACAAUCUGCACUAUACUAAUUAGCUAUGAUUUUUAUGGGGCUGGAGGAACUUCUAAGGCAGCAGCCGCGUCGGGUUCUUCUGUCUCCUUCCCAGGGCUUCCUCAGGGCUUAGUACAGGGCAUGUGCUAAGCAUUCCCUAGCCCCUUCCUUUGCCCUUGUUUGUUCUUUCUAAUCAGAUUCUGUGGGGAAGUUCAUUGUCACAAUGUCCAAUGUUUAGCAUUCAAAGGCUGCAUGAGGUAGAUCAGGUAAACAUACCUCUCUGGCUGUACCAAAAUGGGGGGUUUGGCAUAUCCGCCACCUGAAAGCAGCUGGACCCUGCGUGGAUCUGGGUUUGUAUGCUGUGAGUAAUGCUGUCUGCAUCUUCGAAUCUUUCACUGUAAGAAACAAAAGUCUGACAGCCUCUGAAUCCCGCCCUCCUUCCUGAUACACUGUGACAAUGUGUUUAUAGUACCCUGUUGAUGCUGACCAGAUGCUUGAAGAGGACAGGGUCAGAUGCUUUGUUUGCCGAAGAAACCAGGUAGAUACCCACACUGUGGCCCCAGGAGCUGGCAGCAUCCUGGCAGCACCCUCGCAGCACCGCAGAGCCCCCACCUGCCUGCCCGUCACCGAUGUCCUUUCUCUUCUUGAGUUAAGCCUUUCACUUACUGUCAGCUGGAGGAUGCAUGCCACAGCUAAAUCCCUGGCUAAAAGCCCAUCCUCUUGUGCCAGCUCACUCCCUCUCCACUCUGCUCCUCCAUUUCCUGUGCCUUUCCUGAGGGACUCAGCUUACACCCAACACACGCCAAGGGACUUUCAUUGCUGCAGCAUCUAGGACGUGUCAUCUCAUUGUCAUCACUCAACACUUUUCUUAUCAGCCUCAGGCUGUUACUUGGUCUCUGCAGAUACAGCAGAACUUGAGAGAGAACCAAAAAACAAAAUCCUUCCUUGGUCCUGGGUUAUUCGCUGGUGGAGUCUGUGUCUCUGCUAAGAUGACUUUGUCAAACACCUGCUAUGUGCCAGAGCGUGGGCCCUGUGUCCAGCACACUUGCAUGCCCUUUUGAGACUGACAGGCAUCAUUAUCUUUUCUACAAAAAAGAAAGACGAGGCACUGGGUGCAUAAUUAACCUGCCCCAGACACGCAGCCAGUUAGUGGUGAAGCUGGAGCCCCCCCCGGAGCCUUCACAUCACUGCCCUGCUCUCCAGCCAACCGUGGAACGAAACAAGAAGGCAGACAACGUCCACGGACGGCUCGCCCUGUGUUUAUUAUAGUGUUUGCAAAUCUGAAUAACUGAGCACAUUCCUGACAACCCUGACUACUGAAAUGAAGGCAAAGAGAUGGGAUGAAAAAUGGGUACUUUGGAUCAAAACAACCCCCGAUUUAUGUAAAUGUAACUCUAACUUUUGGACAGGUGGCAGGUUUGAGACUGGGAAGCUGGAUUCCCUCUGGACUGGGGGUGCCUCUGGCGACAACACUCCUGAGGAAGGCUCAAGCAGAGGAAUUUUUUAAAAUGAAUGAAUAAAUGAGCUCUUCUCAUAGGUUCUCAUGAAAGGAGGGUCCCCAAAGAAGGGGAAGGGCUGAAGGGUUGGGUGAUCUACACAUCAGCAGCAGCAGUGUGUGGUUUCACCUGACAGACUGCUUGUUUGGGAGGGUGGAGGGGCUCUCCCAGGGGAUCCCGAGGUUGCCCCUGAGUGAGCGAGGUCAGGACAAUCUCUCCUCUCCUUCCUGGGUCUCAGGGAGCUUCCAUGAACAGAGCUGGGGUCUGAGGCUGGCUCUUGGUUUGCAGCUGGGCUUGGCUGACACAGCCAGCCUGGCUCUGCUUGGGGUAGCAGGAUACAGGAAUUUAAGGCCAGCGUCUACUCCUGGGCGGGGGCAGGUCAUCCCCCUGCCAGCCCAUCUUUCCAAUGUGACUAAGGGAGGUGCAGUGGGAUGUGCAGGAAACGAGGAUCCCUUCAGCCUCACAGUCCCCGGGACAGGGGCCUUGCAUUUGUGUCUACUGGGCCGGUCUCACCCCAACAUCCUAAUGUCACCAACGUUGAACUUGUCUAUUGUCUCAGUUUGGGUUUUCCUGAAAGUAGGUCCUGAGACAGGACUUGCGUACAGGCAGUUUAUUUAGGGGACUGAGACAGGGAGAAAAGAAAAGACACAAUGUGUGAAUGAAUAAGACGGACUCUCCUGAGGACAAGUGUUACUCAGCCCCACCAACCCCUUCUGAGGACUGUGUAGGACCCACCUGGAAUUCAUCUCCCCAAAGUAUUAGGAGUCUGGGACACUUACUUUUCUGGGCCAGAAAAAGCCCCAGGCAGAGGUCCAUGAAGGACUGAUGUGGACAGAUGCUCUCCAGUGACCUCCUGCACCGAUGGUGUCUGCCACCCUGUCUUUGCCACCAGACUCUGAGUUCUGAGUCAAUUUCGUCCACGGGACCCAGCUGUGGGCUUGGCCCAUUUUUUUUUUUUUUUUAAUGAAUGAAUGAAUAAGCUCUUCUCAUAGCUUUUCAUGUAAGGAGGGUCCCAAAGAAGGAUGAGCCAGGAGGCCCAGAUAGGGGAUCCCCUUUAGUUCCAGGUAGAGGGACACCCCAGGGUUGAGAGGGAACAGAGCAGCCUGAGGAUGGCAAGGGAAGCGAGGGGUGGGGGUCUGGGGGCCUGGGGGCCUGAGCCCGCUUUGGCAAAGGCCAGGACAAAGUGGCCUUCUUGAGUGGUAGGGAACAGCAGGGUGUGACCUUCUUCCAGCCCAGGCUGGAGACCCCUCUGCCACCUCCUGGUGAGUGUGAUGGGGGGAGGUGGCCUCUGUGAUGAAAGUAGGAAUGGCCAGGGCUGAAGCAUCAUGAUGGAACUGUCCCCUGUGCCCCGGUUAUGUGUGUCACUGCUGUGCCAUGCCUGGGUGUGUGGGAGGACUGGAGGACACUGGCUGGGCCUGUAUCAGGGCCACAGGAGCCCACUGGAUGUUUGUGACUACACAUCAAGUAUGGAG
Molecule: long non-coding RNA, 3990 nt
Filed under: Homo sapiens (human)
Lineage: Eukaryota; Metazoa; Chordata; Mammalia; Primates; Hominidae
Description: HSALNT0049670
Source: RNAcentral